Molecule: ribosomal RNA, 253 nt
Filed under: uncultured bacterium
Lineage: Bacteria
Description: partial 16S ribosomal RNA
Rfam family: Bacterial small subunit ribosomal RNA
Source: RNAcentral
UACGUAGGGUGCGAGCGUUAAUCGGAAUUACUGGGCGUAAAGCGUGCGCAGGCGGUUCGUUAAGUUCGUUGUGAAAGCCCCGGGCUCAACCUGGGAACUGCAAUGGAAACUGGCGGGCUUGAGUGUGGCAGAGGGGGGUGGAAUUCCGCGUGUAGCAGUGAAAUGCGUAGAGAUGCGGAGGAACACCGAUGGCGAAGGCAGCCCCCUGGGCUAGCACUGACGCUCAGGAACGAAAGCGUGGGGAGCAAACAGG